This 186-nucleotide small RNA is filed under the name Drosophila guanche. The record is from RNAcentral. Lineage: Eukaryota; Metazoa; Arthropoda; Insecta; Diptera; Drosophilidae.
CUGUUGCUGCUGCUGCUCCUCCUGCUGCUGCUGCUGCUGCUGCUGUAGCAGUGCCAAAUGUUGUUGCUGCUGCUGCUGCAAGUGCUGAUGUUGCUGCUGCUGCUGUAUCAUAAACUCGUGCUGUAUGCGCUCCUGAAGCAGCUGCUGCUGCUCUUCCUCGUGCUGCUGUUGCUGCUGCUGCAACUG